This 335-nucleotide unclassified non-coding RNA is filed under the name soil metagenome. RNAcentral's name for it is "partial contains 5.8S ribosomal RNA, internal transcribed spacer 2, and large subunit ribosomal RNA". The stretch from base 1 to 120 matches the Rfam family "5.8S ribosomal RNA", at positions 35 to 154 of the family's 154-position model. The record is from RNAcentral.
GAUGAAGAACGUAGCGAAAUGCGAUAAGUAAUGUGAAUUGCAGAAUUCAGUGAAUCAUCGAAUCUUUGAACGCACAUUGCGCCCGCCAGUAUUCUGGCGGGCAUGCCUGUUCGAGCGUCAUUUCAACCAUCAAGCCCCCAGCUUGUGUUGGGGACCUGCGGCUGCCGCAGGCCCUGAAAACCAGUGGCGGGCUCGCUGUCACACCGGGCGUAGUAGAUUUUAUCUCGCUCAGGGCGUGCUGCGGGUUCCGGCCGUUAAAAAGCCUUUUUUACCCAAGGUUGACCUCGGAUCAGGUAGGAAGACCCGCUGAACUUAAGCAUAUCAAUAAGGGAGGA